GCGCCUGUAGCUCAGUGGAACAGAGCGUCUGCCUUCUAAGCAGAGGGCCGCAGGUUCGAAUCCUGCCAGGCGCGCCA
RNAcentral lists this transfer RNA (77 nucleotides) under Bacillota bacterium. RNAcentral describes it as "tRNA-Arg". It matches the Rfam family "tRNA". Rfam says of the family: Transfer RNA (tRNA) molecules are approximately 80 nucleotides in length. Lineage: Bacteria; Bacillati; Bacillota. The record is from RNAcentral.